GCAAGUCGAGGGGUAACAGAGGUAGCUUGCUACUUGCUGACGACCGGCGCACGGGUGCGUAACGCGUAUACAAUUUACCUUGUACAGGGGAAUAGCCUUUAGAAAUGAAGAUUAAUGCCCCAUAGUCUAUUUGAAUCACCUGGUUUAAAUAGUAAAGAUUUAUCGGUACAAGAUGAGUAUGCGUUCUAUUAGCUAGAUGGAGUGGUAACGGCUCCCCAUGGCAACGAUAGAUAGGGGUCCUGAGAGGGAGAUC
This 253-nucleotide ribosomal RNA is filed under the name uncultured bacterium. Its description in RNAcentral is "partial 16S ribosomal RNA". It matches the Rfam family "Bacterial small subunit ribosomal RNA", at positions 57 to 305 of the family's 1533-position model. The record is from RNAcentral.